Molecule: ribosomal RNA, 465 nt
Filed under: uncultured bacterium
Lineage: Bacteria
Description: bacterial SSU rRNA
Rfam family: Bacterial small subunit ribosomal RNA
Source: RNAcentral
GAUGAUCGCUGGCGGCGUGCCUAAUACAUGCAAGUUGUGCGGUAACAGAGAGAGCUUGCUCUCUGCUGACGAGCGGCGGACGGCAGAGUAACGCGUAGGAACAUACCCCAAACUGAGGGAUAACUGCUCGAAAGAGUAGCUAAUACCGCAUGUGGUCUUCGGAUUAAAGCUUCGGCGGUUUGGGAGUGGCCUGCGUCCGAUUAGCUAGUUGGUGAGGUAAUUGCUCACCAAGGCGACGAUCGGUAGCUGGUCUAAGAGGAUGAUCAGCCUGACUGGAACUGAGAACGGUCCAGACUCCUACGGGAGGCAGCAGUAGGGAAUUUUCCACAAUGGGCGAAAGCCUGAUGGAGCAACGCCGCGUGCAGGAUGAAUGCCUUCGGGUUGUAAACUGCUUUUCUGUGUGAAGAAUAUGACGGUAACACAGGAAUAAGGGUCGGCUAACUACGUGCCAGCAGCCGCGGUAAU